GAAAGAGGCCAUGAGCCAAGGAAUGUGGACAGACUAUAGAAGCUGGGUAUGGAACAGAGAUUGAAGCUAAUUCUGCUGUCUGAGAAUUAUCUGCGUCUUGCUAGCAUGAAAAGAUAUUUUGGAGAAGCAUUAGAGCAGACAGAGUUAGAAGAAAACCUCUGCUGACAGAUUGUGCUCAGAUCCUGGCUCUGCCAAGCUGCAUGACCCUGGACCAGUCAACAAUCGCUUUGGAGAGGAGAAACAAUUACUUUGUAAACUGAAGCAGCGCACUUAAUGAAGGAAGCAGAGAAGCUGCUGUGGAGGCUUUUUGCUAUCUAAUGUGCUCACGCGGUGCCUCAGUUUCUGCAUCUGUAAAUUAAGAUGAUAAUAAUCACUAUCUCAUAGGGUUGUGCAGAAGAUUAGAUGAGUUAAUAUACAGAAAGCAUUUAAACAGUGCCUGGCGCAUCGUAAGCGCAAUGUAUAAUGAUUUUAUGGUGAGAGUUAUGGAAGAAAUGUACAGGAUGAUAUGACCUACUAGAUACGUGGAAAGGUGGAGGAAUGAUAUUAGAUAGGAUCAUUUGGGAAGGUUUAAGUAGAAACCUGAAAGACCAGAAGAAGACACAGAAUUUGAUGACACUAUAUUAUGAAAAAC
Molecule: long non-coding RNA, 631 nt
Filed under: Equus asinus (donkey)
Lineage: Eukaryota; Metazoa; Chordata; Mammalia; Perissodactyla; Equidae
Description: lncRNA (ENSEASG00005027469.1)
Source: RNAcentral